This is a long non-coding RNA of Galeopterus variegatus (Sunda flying lemur), 1749 nucleotides long. RefSeq lists it as uncharacterized. The transcript is spliced from 3 exons. NCBI's taxonomy places the organism in Eukaryota, Metazoa, Chordata, Mammalia, Dermoptera, Cynocephalidae. The record is from RefSeq and is a predicted model, not a curated record.
GGAGUAGCCCUGCUGAAUGACCAUAUUUAUGUGGUGGGGGGAUUUGACGGUACAGCCCACCUUUCUUCUGUUGAAGCAUACAACAUUCGCACCGAUUCUUGGACAACUGUCACUAGUAUGACCACUCCACGAUGCUACGUAGGGGCCACAGUGCUUCGGGGGCGGCUCUGUGCAAUUGCAGGAUAUGAUGGGAACUCCCUGCUGAGUAGCAUUGAAUGCUAUGACCCUAUCAUUGACAGCUGGGAAGUAGUGACUUCCAUGGGAACCCAGCGCUGUGAUGCUGGUGUGUGUGUUCUCCGAGAGAAGUGACCAUUGUUGGAGCACCGUCCAGAGCUAGUGACCAGUCCAAAGGACAGUUUGUGGGAGAAUCAAGGAUCCUUUCCAGAAUACCUGUUUCUCACUGUGUGCAUAGGGUGAUUACAGGCACCAGUGCAGUGAUGAUUGUACUUAUAUGCCCCGUACUCCCCCUCACAUUGGUAGUUAUUUCUGAGAAAGGUGGGUAACAGACACUCAAGGGAAAAAUAUGCACAUUGAAUGGACGUGAGAGACCAGAUUACCUCUCUCUCUGGUCUGGGGAGCACUUUCUUGUCAUAUGUAACUUACCUUGUGCUUAGGAGAAUAUAUAUGUAUGUUGUGCCUCAUAUAUUGCAGAGAACUAAGGUAAGUAUGGCCUACUAGAUGUGGGCAGUAUCCAGCCUAGAUGAUUGGAAGGAUACCAACUUAAGUAAGCUCGGUAAAAUCCAAGUCUUUUUUUCAGGAACAAAUAUUUUUUCUAAUCUACAGGUAGCUAGGGGCAACACAGUUUCAUUCUGGAGGAAAACAAAAGAGAAAUCCCUAUCAAAACUUUGGGGACCAGGGAGAGAGACUCAUCUUACACUCCCUUAGGAGGACAGGGUUAGUAUAUCAGACCUGAGGUUAGAGUAAGUGAAGUAAACAAUCUGAGGCAAUGUGAGUGAAAUUAGAACACCACUGAACUUAUAACCUGGAAGAUCGAGAAGGCUGUAUUAUUUGAAGGUUGUUUUUUUCCCCAAGGUCUUUCUAAAGUAGAGUGUUGUGCAUCCGUGCAGUAGAGACUGGGAGAAUAACAAGAGUUAACAAAUCUUGGGAUGAGAGGCAAUAGCAUAAAUGUGAGAAUUCAACAUACCUGGGGAUGAACUAGAAGUACCUGUGAUUUUACAAUUGUCUUAUUUCCUGCCAAGGUUCAUCUAGCCCUGGCAGUGUUUGCCUUGAAUGGUGAGAGACUGUCUUUUUUUUGUUGAAUCCAAUACUACUACACCAUUACACUUCCACACUAUUUAUUAGGGGAUGGGGUGGGGAUGGCAGCAGCCCAGUGGUUCAGCUACCUGAUUACUGCCCAUUCUUUUAAGGGCACACUUCUGGUAAGGAGUGAUUUUUACUGCUGUGUUUGGUACAUUUAGUCCUUUUCCUGCUAUAAGUUUCCCUUACAUGUCCAUAGAAUGGAUUUUAUUCAUUCCAGGACAGAAUAAUCAAGGACAACAAAAAUUCCUUUGUUAGUUCUAGUACCUCUGCUAUCACCAUUUCUGAGCUACCAUUCAAGGCACCUGUGUAUCAUGGAGUGAAAUUCUUGCUUUAUAAGUAUUGAGAGUGUGGGAAUGCCAUAACCUAAACAAGGGUGUACUUUCCCUUUGCUCUGAAAUUCCAUUUUUUCCUCUUUCCCUGAGUUGUAUUGACCUACAGAGUUAAUUUCCUUUGUAUUUUUUUAAGAAAAUAUUAAAAAUUAACUGUCUC